GCUCCCGUAGCUCAAUGUAGAGAGCACCGCGCUUCGAACGCGGCGGUUGCAGGCGAAACUCCUGCCGGGAGCA
Molecule: transfer RNA, 73 nt
Filed under: Chthoniobacter flavus
Lineage: Bacteria; Pseudomonadati; Verrucomicrobiota; Spartobacteria; Chthoniobacterales; Chthoniobacteraceae
Also listed under: 1 other name
Description: tRNA-Arg
Rfam family: tRNA
About the family: Transfer RNA (tRNA) molecules are approximately 80 nucleotides in length.
Source: RNAcentral